This 262-nucleotide ribosomal RNA is filed under the name uncultured Pseudomonas sp. RNAcentral describes it as "partial 16S ribosomal RNA". It matches the Rfam family "Bacterial small subunit ribosomal RNA", at positions 1125 to 1382 of the family's 1533-position model. The record is from RNAcentral. Lineage: Bacteria; Pseudomonadati; Pseudomonadota; Gammaproteobacteria; Pseudomonadales; Pseudomonadaceae.
AUUAAGUUGGGCACGUCUAAGGAGGACUGCCGGUAGACAAACCGGAGGAAGGUGGGGAUGACGUCAAGUCAUCAUGGCCCUUACGGCCUGGGCUACACACGUGCUACAAUGGUCGGUACAAAGGGUUGCCAAGCCGCGAGGUGGAGCUAAUCCCAUAAAGCCGGUCUCAGUCCGGAUCGCAGUCUGCAACUCGACUGCGUGAAGUUGGAAUCGCUAGUAAUCGUAGAUCAGCAUGCUACGGUCGAAUACGUUCCCGGGCCUU